CCUACGGGAGGCUGCAGUGGGGAAUAUUGGACAAUGGGCGAAAGCCUGAUCCAGCCAUGCCGCGUGUGUGAAGAAGGCCUUCGGGUUGUAAAGCACUUUCAGUGGGGAAGAAAGCCUUGGGGCUAAUACCCUCGAGGAAGGACAUCACCCACAGAAGAAGCACCGGCUAACUCCGUGCCAGCAGCCGCGGUAAUACGGAGGGUGCGAGCGUUAAUCGGAAUUACUGGGCGUAAAGCGCGCGUAGGCGGUCUGAUAAGCCGGUUGUGAAAGCCCCGGGCUCAACCUGGGAACGGCAUCCGGAACUGUCAGGCUAGAGUGCAGGAGAGGAAGGUAGAAUUCCCGGUGUAGCGGUGAAAUGCGUAGAGAUCGGGAGGAAUACCAGUGGCGAAGGCGGCCUUCUGGACUGACACUGACGCUGAGGUGCGAAAGCGUGGGUAGCAAACAGGAUUAGAACCCGAGUAGUC
Molecule: ribosomal RNA, 464 nt
Filed under: Vreelandella stevensii
Lineage: Bacteria; Pseudomonadati; Pseudomonadota; Gammaproteobacteria; Oceanospirillales; Halomonadaceae
Description: partial 16S ribosomal RNA
Rfam family: Bacterial small subunit ribosomal RNA
Source: RNAcentral